Molecule: transfer RNA, 76 nt
Filed under: Francisella tularensis subsp. tularensis SCHU S4
Lineage: Bacteria; Pseudomonadati; Pseudomonadota; Gammaproteobacteria; Thiotrichales; Francisellaceae
Also listed under: 1 other name
Description: tRNA-Glu
Rfam family: tRNA
About the family: Transfer RNA (tRNA) molecules are approximately 80 nucleotides in length. Their secondary structure includes four short double-helical elements and three loops (D, anti-codon, and T loops). Further hydrogen bonds mediate the characteristic L-shaped molecular structure. tRNAs have two regions of fundamental functional importance: the anti-codon, which is responsible for specific mRNA codon recognition, and the 3' end, to which the tRNAs corresponding amino acid is attached (by aminoacyl-tRNA synthetases). tRNAs cope with the degeneracy of the genetic code in two manners: having more than one tRNA (with a specific anti-codon) for a particular amino acid; and 'wobble' base-pairing, i.e. permitting non-standard base-pairing at the 3rd anti-codon position.
Source: RNAcentral
UCCCGUUCGUCUAGAGGCCUAGGACACCGCCCUUUCACGGCGGCAACAGGGGUUCGAAUCCCCUACGGGAUGCCAA